UGAUAAUACAAGCGGAACUAUGUAGCUAAUACUGUUGUAACGGGGAUCCUUAUUGUAGCAACACACUUUUGGAUGGAAGGCAACCCUGCGCUGCGUUAACUAAGUUUUCAUGUCAUCCGGUGUAGUUCAUAAAGGUUGAAGAGUGUAUGUUAGGAUGAAGUGUGAAUUCAUGCAAGGAAUAAUAAGUGUGAAGUUUGAUUUCCUCCCUUCUGUAAUAAGCAGCCAAUGAGUUCUCACGGAAGGGGAUAAUUCUCACUGAAACUACAGAAUAAAGCCGUCCAGUUAAAAUCAAGGAACGGUUGUGCUCGUGGUUACUGAAGGGAGCUACAAGACCCUUAUCCGUUUCGAAUUCACCAACUGAAAGACGCUUGCCCUCUCCAUCAUAACUCCGAAGGGGAAGGGGAUGUUCGGGCUGAAAGUGAAGAAGAAGAAGAACAUAUUAGGAGGAUUCCGAUGGCUAUUAGAAGUACAGCACUGUCAAGUGCCUCAUCUUAGAACAAUCCAGAACUACUGUAACAAUCCAGAAUCAACUAUCAAAACAUUCCAUGUCACCCUGCCAAGUCCAGUUGUGCCUCGUUGUGUUCCUUAAUGGAGUCUGUACCAUGUGUGUGUGUAUGACUGUGUGUGUAUCUAUUAAUCACCCCGCUCCUCCGCUCUCUCCACUGGCUUCCAGUUGAAGCUCGCAUCCGCUACAAGACCAUGGUGCUUGCCUUACGGAGCUGUGA
Long non-coding RNA from Oncorhynchus gorbuscha (pink salmon), 725 nucleotides. RefSeq lists it as uncharacterized. The record is from RefSeq and is a predicted model, not a curated record. Lineage: Eukaryota; Metazoa; Chordata; Actinopteri; Salmoniformes; Salmonidae. The transcript is spliced from 4 exons.